GCCUAGUUGGCUCAGUCGGAAGAGCGUGGGACUCGUGAUCGCAGGGUCGUGGGUUCGAGCCCUACAUUGGGUG
This is a non-coding RNA of Ailuropoda melanoleuca (giant panda), 73 nucleotides long. NCBI's taxonomy places the organism in Eukaryota, Metazoa, Chordata, Mammalia, Carnivora, Ursidae. The record is from Rfam.